ACUUUCAAGGCAGGGUGAAAUUCCCUACCGGCGGUAUAGUCCGCAAACCAAAGGAAGUCUUUGGCUGAACCGGUGAAAUUCCGGUACCGACGGUAUAGUCCGGAUGGGAGAAAGG
This 115-nucleotide non-coding RNA is filed under the name bovine gut metagenome. RNAcentral describes it as "FMN riboswitch (RFN element)". It matches the Rfam family "FMN riboswitch aptamer (RFN element)". From Rfam's summary of the family: The RFN element is a highly conserved domain that is found frequently in the 5'-untranslated regions of prokaryotic mRNAs that encode for flavin mononucleotide (FMN) biosynthesis and transport proteins. The record is from RNAcentral.